AGAGUUUGAUCCUGGCUCAGGAUGAACGCUAGCUACAGGCUUAACNCAUGCAAGUCGAGGGGCAGCAUGGUCUUAGCUUGCUAAGGCUGAUGGCGACCGGCGCACGGGUGAGUAACACGUAUCCAACCUGCCGUCUACUCUUGGCCAGCCUUCUGAAAGGAAGAUUAAUCCAGGAUGGGAUCAUGAGUUCACAUGUCCGCAUGAUUAAAGGUAUUUUCCGGUAGACGAUGGGGAUGCGUUCCAUUAGAUAGUAGGCGGGGUAACGGCCCACCUAGUCAACGAUGGAUAGGGGUUCUGAGAGGAAGGUCCCCCACAUUGGAACUGAGACACGAUCCAAACUCCUACGGGAGGCAGCA
RNAcentral lists this ribosomal RNA (356 nucleotides) under uncultured bacterium. Its description in RNAcentral is "bacterial SSU rRNA". It matches the Rfam family "Bacterial small subunit ribosomal RNA", at positions 8 to 353 of the family's 1533-position model. The record is from RNAcentral.